This 254-nucleotide ribosomal RNA is filed under the name uncultured bacterium. Its description in RNAcentral is "partial 16S ribosomal RNA". It matches the Rfam family "Bacterial small subunit ribosomal RNA", at positions 524 to 776 of the family's 1533-position model. The record is from RNAcentral.
UACGGGGGGAGCAAGCGUUGUUCGGAUUUACUGGGCGUAAAGGGCGCGUAGGCGGUCAGCACAAGUCAGUUGUGAAAUCUCCGAGCUUAACUCGGAAAGGUCAACUGAUACUGUGCGGCUAGAGUGCAGAAGGGGCAACUGGAAUUCUUGGUGUAGCGGUGAAAUGCGUAGAUAUCAAGAGGAACACCUGCGGCGAAGGCGGGUUGCUGGGCUGACACUGACGCUGAAGCGCGAAAGCCAGGGGAGCGAACGGG